UACGAACCGUCCAAACGUUAUUCGGAAUUAUUGGGCUUAAAGGGCUUGUAGGCGGCCAACUAAGUCAUACGUGAAAUCCCUCGGCUUAACCGGGGAACUGCGUCUGAUACUGGAUGGCUUGAGAUUGGGAGAGGGAUGCGGAAUUCCAGGUGUAGCGGUGAAAUGCGUAGAUAUCUGGAGGAACACCGGUGGCGAAGGCGGCAUCCUGGACCAACACUGACGCUGAGGAGCGAAAGCCAGGGGAGCAAACGGG
Molecule: ribosomal RNA, 253 nt
Filed under: uncultured bacterium
Lineage: Bacteria
Description: partial 16S ribosomal RNA
Rfam family: Bacterial small subunit ribosomal RNA
Source: RNAcentral